Long non-coding RNA from Lolium perenne, 2151 nucleotides. RefSeq lists it as uncharacterized. Lineage: Eukaryota; Viridiplantae; Streptophyta; Magnoliopsida; Poales; Poaceae. The record is from RefSeq and is a predicted model, not a curated record.
UGAUUUGUUUGUUAAAAUGCUUAAAAGCGCAGUUUCAUUCUGCAUAGUUAAUUUUGCUAUAAGGAUAAUGGAUUCUAUUUGUUCUGUAUAACAUAUUACUAUUCGAUCUGAUUGGCAAUUUUGAAGGUAAUCAUUUGCUUGCUUGGCUAAUCAAAUUUGUUGCAUCCUUUAUAAGUGGAUUCUUGAUUUAGGAACAAACAAUAGGUGUUGAAUGAGAAAUUAAAAUAUGAUGUUCAUAAGUUCAGUACGGUCUUGCAGAACCAACGAAGUGAAUAGACAACAUCUCUUUGCUUGAUUUCAUUCUUUGCAGUCUACGCUGGAUAUGCGGAAGUGUCAUUGGGACUGAAGACCAUCAUUUUACUUGUAAGAUCUCCAAACAUGUCUGGAGGCUGGAGGUUCUGGCGUACAAAGGUGGCUGGAGUCGACGAUUCAGACAUUGGAUGGCUGCACUGGACAUCUCAAACUGCCCCAGCUCUUCGUCUACUGUCACAACAAUUAAUACCAUUUUGCUUUUUUGUUUUUGAGAUUGCUCAAAGCAGUAAUGAAUGUUAAUUGGUGAGCUGCCGUGUGCUGGCCAUUUUCUCAAUCGUCACGCUAUUUCAAAGUCUGGACGGGGGCUGCUCGAUUUUCUCAUCUUGGACUGCCUAUACAGCUCGAGUGCACCAGUGAUUCUCUACAUUCUUCUUUGUAUUGUCCCUCCAUUUCUAGACAGGUCAGUUCUGCACUUGCAAAUGGAAACUGUUUAACUUCUUUGCGGAAGAGUUUAUUCGCUCUUUACGUUUAUUUCUCUCUCUCCUGUAGCUAUAGCUGCAUAUUUUGUGCUUCUUACAAUUGCAAUGGUUGACCUUUGACAGAGAGAGUAAAUUUCCUAAUGAUUUUCUUCCUAUUGUAGUAUUUACAUCAAUGCUCUCUAAGCAUGAAUGUGUUACAAAUUGCCACUUUGGUUGUCUUCUUUAUUUCUAGAUAAUACUAAAUUUAUAUCAGCUAAACAUCUGUCCCCGUUUGUUCUCCCCAAACACAAUGAUUAUAGGGCUGCCGAUGUUUUCUGGUGUUAGAAUUUCAUGGUUUGUCUUUUGGCAGCUGAUUAUUCAGUCGCAUGAUACUUGUGUUCUUAAGGGAAAAAAUUAACAUGAUAUUGUUUUGUGUCUAUUAAAUUGCUAUUUACACUUAAAUAGUUUAUCUAACAAUAGAAGUGAUAGAUACAAACUUUUCAAUGUGUUUGUUUGAUCUUUAUUACCCUGGUUUGUCUCUUAGCAUGCAUCUUGCAAAAAUAAUCAAAGAGAUGCUACCACUGCUGAUACAUCUAUAUGUAGCCAUCUCCAGAAUGAAUCGCUUCAGUUGGGAGUAGCUCUGCCUCCAUGCCUUUGUAUAAAUGAUAUAGACGAUUUGUACGAUUCAAAACUCGGAUCUGUACGGGACACAUGUGGAUGGAUCGUUCAUAACCCGCAACUAACAACCCAAGUACACCAUUGUACACCCAUUUUGUGCUUAAAUUGAACGUUUUCGGUGAUUUUUUCAGCACAUGCCAAAGCACUAGAGGUACAACGUUGCUUUUGGUUGUUUGGCCAGUACUUUCUACAUGCAAAAUCAAUUGUAUUUAUUGUAAAACAUUGCUUAAUAUCUGAACGUAGGACUUGAGCAUGCUAACUAUUUUACAUGUUGAUGCAUGCAUUCAUUUCCAUUUUGCUGAAAGAUGAGGGCUCAUACUAAGAUGCAUGCAUUCAUUUUUGUCUUGCUGAAGAUGAGGACUGAUAGUAAGAUGCAUGCAUUCUUUUGAGUAAACAUCUGGACACUGAUUUAAAACGGAUUUAGAAGUUGGUACAAGAUCACUUAGAAUUGUUUCGGAUUUUUUCCAAAUGAAAAUAUCUUUAAAUCAAUGAUGAUUGUACUGCAGCUACCGGGCAUCAAUUAGGACACACAAAAAUUGUUCAAGCAAGUGUUCUAUAUCACUUAUCACUCAAUUCUUGCGAAUUUUCAUGAGCCACCUAAUGUAAGGAGAUCAAUUUAUCACGUGAAGAUAUGUUUCUUCUGUUCAAAUGUGCCAAACUUGGGCACAAUGUUGGUGAUCAUGUGGAGUAAGUUGUAUAUGUGACUUAGUAGAUCAUCUGCUCCAUUUAUAAAGGGCAAUCUGAAAUGUUCCAGUCUUUUUCA